This 322-nucleotide ribosomal RNA is filed under the name uncultured eukaryote. RNAcentral's name for it is "partial 18S ribosomal RNA". It matches the Rfam family "Eukaryotic small subunit ribosomal RNA", at positions 1470 to 1796 of the family's 1831-position model. The record is from RNAcentral.
CCCUUAGAUGUUCUGGGCCGCACGCGUGCUACACUGAGUGGAUCAGCGGGUCGGGCUGCGCGAAAGCGUUUCCUAAUCUUUAAAUCCGCUCGUGAUGGGGAUUGACGGUUGCAAUUUUCUGUCAUGAACGAGGAAUACCUUGUAAGCGCGGGUCAUCAUCCCGCGCUGAAUACGUCCCUGCCCUUUGUACACACCGCCCGUCGCUCCUACCGAUUGAGUGGUCCGGUGAGGCUUUGGGAUCUGAGCGGAAAGAGCGUUUCGCUGUUUCUGCUCGGAAAACUCAGUCGAACCUUAUCAUUUAGAGGAAGGAGAAGUCGUAACA